AACCUCACAAACAGCGUCUCAGUUCAGAUUGCAGGCUGCAACCCGCCUGCAUGAAGUCGGAAUUGCUAGUAAUCGCGGAUCAGCAUGCCGCGGUGAAUACGUUCCCGGGCCUUGUACACACCGCCCGUCACACCAUGAGAGCCGGGGGGACCCGAAGUCCGUAGCUUAACCGUAAGGAGGGCGCGGCCGAAGGUAAAACUGGUGAUUGGGGUGAAGUCGUAACAAGGUACC
Molecule: ribosomal RNA, 231 nt
Filed under: uncultured bacterium
Lineage: Bacteria
Description: partial 16S ribosomal RNA
Rfam family: Bacterial small subunit ribosomal RNA
Source: RNAcentral